Long non-coding RNA from Telopea speciosissima, 164 nucleotides. RefSeq lists it as uncharacterized. Lineage: Eukaryota; Viridiplantae; Streptophyta; Magnoliopsida; Proteales; Proteaceae. The record is from RefSeq and is a predicted model, not a curated record. The transcript is spliced from 3 exons.
UCUUCCAGAAACUUUGAUGGUUUGAAGAAGCUGCCAUAUACUUCUGACCACUUCUUGAGACUUGUGAAUAUAUAUUCAGAUCCAAUUGAAUCAGCCCAAAAUACAAUACCACCACUGCCAAAAAUUGGGGUUGGGGAGAGAGAAACAGGAAAAAAACUGAGUUG